Molecule: ribosomal RNA, 507 nt
Filed under: uncultured bacterium
Lineage: Bacteria
Description: bacterial SSU rRNA
Rfam family: Bacterial small subunit ribosomal RNA
Source: RNAcentral
UGGCUCAGGAUGAACGCUAGCGACAGGCCUAACACAUGCAAGUCGAGGGGCAGCACAAGGAGCAAUCUGAGGUGGCGACCGGCGCACGGGUGAGUAACACGUAUGCGAACCUGGCUGUAAAGAGGGGAAUAACCCGGAGAAAUCCGGACUAAUACCGCAUAAGUACUUAGAAUCCGCAUGGAUUUUAAGUUAAACAUUUAUGGCUUACAGAUGGGCAUGCGUAUGAUUAGCUGGUUGGAGAGGUAACGGCUCCCCAAGGCAACGAUCAUUAGGGGUUCUGAGAGGAAGGUCCCCCACACUGGUACUGAGACACGGACCAGACUCCUACGGGAGGCAGCAGUGAGGAAUAUUGGUCAAUGGACGCAAGUCUGAACCAAGCCAAGUCGCGUGAAGGAAGAAUGUCCUAUGGAUUGUAAACUUCUUUUGAAGGGGAAUAAAGUACGGUACGUGUACCGUUUUGUAUGUACCCUUCGAAUAAGGAUCGGCUAACUCCGUGCCAGCCGCCGC